UUAAUUGAAACCAAAAAGAGGUAUGUCACUGUUAAUGACAACAUUGAGUCUAACUCCAAUUAAG
Molecule: transfer RNA, 64 nt
Filed under: Eophileurus chinensis
Lineage: Eukaryota; Metazoa; Arthropoda; Insecta; Coleoptera; Scarabaeidae
Description: tRNA-Asn
Source: RNAcentral